Long non-coding RNA from Ornithodoros turicata, 462 nucleotides. RefSeq lists it as uncharacterized. NCBI's taxonomy places the organism in Eukaryota, Metazoa, Arthropoda, Arachnida, Ixodida, Argasidae. The record is from RefSeq and is a predicted model, not a curated record. The transcript is spliced from 3 exons.
UUCAUCGGAGCAUUCAAGUGUUACCUAUUAUAAGCUGCCAAAAGACCAAGCAGUGCGAAGCUCUUGGCUGACAGUGGUGCCUGCUAAUUUCCACUGCAAGGAUUUCGUCCACGAAUGUUAUCAUAGGUUACGCGCGACUCCAGAGGCAAUUUGGAAUCUCGGCACGAAAUCGUCUGAUGAAAAUCUGAGGUGCCCGAUGCAUAACAUUUUGAACGUGCCAUGGAGGAUCAAGGCAAAAAACGAGAGCAAAAAAAUGGUGCACGCUGAAGGCGGAAAUGAAGCAUGAUCUGGCUUGCAUCUGGUCAUGAAGAAAUUGCUGACACGUUAGUUGCAGUCCACCUCCACCAACAGGGUGGAAAACAAAGGUCGCCAUUCCGAUUAGCUGCAAUCUCCCAGUUCAAGCACUUUUGUGUCUGGACACUGGUUCCUGUGGAUGGGGUGUUACAAGCUUCACUGUCUGAU